RNAcentral lists this long non-coding RNA (295 nucleotides) under Phoenix dactylifera (date palm). RNAcentral describes it as "long non-coding RNA (PDAC_LNC007928)". The record is from RNAcentral. Lineage: Eukaryota; Viridiplantae; Streptophyta; Magnoliopsida; Arecales; Arecaceae.
AAGAAGGAAAAAUGAAAUUUGGUUCAAACUUGACUAUCUGACUAGAAGAUUUGUGUCAGAUUGGUCAAAUGCAAGCCGAAAGGUAAUAGAUAGCCUUUUGACUCGUUUUUGGGGCUAUGCUGCUGAAAAUUCUGUUGAUGUCAUGUUGUUCCAUACAUGUCUGAGGGAUUUAUGGUGCAUCUAAUGCAAAUAAUUCAUCCUUCGAUACCAAGGCUGCUCUAAGUUUGGAAUGUUGAUGGCAUUUGGAAUAAAAAUUUUAGUGUAGGAUGCAUUUCAAGCCGAUAUACUUUGGUUA